Molecule: unclassified non-coding RNA, 6770 nt
Filed under: Leishmania donovani
Lineage: Eukaryota; Euglenozoa; Kinetoplastea; Trypanosomatida; Trypanosomatidae
Description: gene:LdHU3.33.3240(CDS-product:hypothetical_prote in_conserved)
Source: RNAcentral
UGGUUCAAAGGCCGCGCGUCAAACAACAACAAAAUACAAACAACCCAACCACAGGAAAAAAAAGAGAGCACCCCGCAGAGCACUGUAAGCGUUGGUAGAAAACACACAAACAGUGAAUGUUACCAAGUAAGCAGACGCACAGGCACGCACGCAUACACACAUCCCCCAGGUAGGUUGCACAGACACAUUAUAAAUAUAUAUAAGAAAAAAGGAAGGAGCAUCGAGCUCGUCGGCACUUUGACGGGGCGUAUACACGAAGGCGAGCGCACACGCUGAAGAAAAACAAACCCGAAAUCCCCCAAACCGAAGACACACACGCCCUUUCCCCCAAGAAAACGUUUGAGGGACAACAACGAAGAGAGGUAGAGCGAGUGAGAAAGGAGGAGUCAACGGCCGCAGGCUUUUUAUUACUCAAACGCGUACAUAACGCGCACUCCGGUGUACAUAAUUCGAAAGGGACAACGACAUUUUUUUUUGUGAAGAAAAGACGAUACAUCUUCUGCGUUAAUUUUUUUCGUUGCUUCGUAGUAUUCUGCGCAUGCUUUGUUCUUUUGCCUUUUUUUCCAGAAGUUUGAACACACACACACACACACAAAGAAACUCAACGGCCUCUUCUUUUUCCCCGUCCUCGACCUCUAUCUCUCUGCGUCGAUUUGUUCUUUUUCGUCUAGCAAGAACGACUAAAUAUCUGCCCAUAGCCGGAGACCCACUCCCCUCCCCUACCCGUCACUGUUGCCAUCCACUUCUCUCCAGAUUUUGACAUUCAAAUCUUCAACGAAUUCCUCUCCCUCCUACCCCAGCAGCGCAGAAACGAAGCGGCCGACCACACGCGCAUAGAAACAGCAACAGAAAAGACGCGCUUGACGACUCUCUUUUCGACGGCCCCUUCUUCGCCUUCCUUGUGAUAUAUAUCGAUAUCUAUCUAUUUGUUUCCUUCUCGUGAAGCCCUUUUCUUUUUCGUCGCUUGCUCCCUUUUUCUUUGUGUUUUGCUUGCUGCCGCCCCCAGGCCUUUUCCGUCUCCGUUUGCGGUGUAUGUGGACGAGUGCGCGAGCUGUUGAUUGACGAAUUGCACAUCACGUUUGUUUUGUGCGGGCACUGACGCUGGUCGUCGGCCCUUCUCCCCUUCCUCAGCAUCGCUCAUUUUCCUCCUUUGUUUUCGUCCCGACGCACUCUUUCGUUUGGUUUUAGCGGCUCUCGUUUACGUGGUCUCAGGCCUUCUGGUGCUUCCUCUUUGCGUGGCCGUCUUUGCAUUGUUGCUGCUGCGGCUUCUGGUAGGGCUCACUUCCGUCUCUGCAGGCUUUCGCAGGCACCUCCUCCUUUCUCUCUGCCACGCGGUGCUCUUUGCCUGCUCAGCACUGCAGCGGAUCUUCCUGUUGCUCGACCACAUUUUCAUGUCUGUGGUGAAAGCGGACCGAGCAGGCCAUUGUCAAGUAUUGUCGCUCUUUUUUUCCUUCUGUGCGCCUUGAAUCCUACACGAGGGAUAACGAAGUCUUUGUGCCUACACACCCACAUAAGACUUAUCCCGCUUCCAUCCGUUUUCGUCUUUUCGGCUCUUUUCUUGUCUUCUACCCUCAUCCUGUUGCUCGAUUUGUCUGUCAUCCUUUCCCUCCCCACUUUUUCUCUUCCCUUGCGCGGGAGGCCCAUCUUUUGGUGCUGGAUCGGCGUCUUUUUUACAUCUCUCUCUCGCGCGCACCUUGGUCAGCUCCAGAUCUCGCUACACACCGGCACACAGGCACCUACAACCCACUUUCGUUGGAUUGCAGCAGUUGGGUGGCCGUGCAGGUCUUUCUACUCUUUCUCCGUUCAUCUUGUUUUGUCUCUUGCUUGUACCUUUCCCAGUGUUGUUUUGUUGCUUCGUUUCUUGUACCACUUUUCUGCCCUGGCACAGCUGAAGCACUUCUUCAGAGUCCUCCUCUGCUUGUGUUGCGUCUCUUCGCUCACUCCGAUCCCCUCUUUCUCUCGUUGAUUUCCUUUCUGUUCUGUUGUCUUGUGCAUCUUUUCCUGUGCUUUUGGCGUCUCCUGCAUCGCCUAUCAAGCGUUUCGGUGUUCUCGUCUCUUUUUUUUGUGUGUGUUUUACGUUCUGGGGCUGGCUCAGCUACAUACCGUGACGACGGCGUUCUCUUCUUCGCUUGGGUUCUUGUCUUGCCUUCCCUCCCCAUACCUCCCUCCUCUUUUCGUGUCGUCGUCUUUGUUUUGCUUUACACUCUUCGUGUGUGGGAGCUGCUUCAUCGUUGAGAGUGUCUUGAUUUUCCCUUUCUCGCCCCCUUUUUUUUUUCCAAAAGUUUGCCAAGCACUUCCAUACACGCACACAUCAAACAAAACAGGCGGCGCUCUUAAGCACCUAAAGAAAAAGAAGAAAACAAAAAGCAACGACAACAGUGCCCCCUUCUCUCUGUCGCAUACACAUGCAUAGCUAUACAUAACUAUAUAUAUAUAUCUAUACACCUAUCUAUAUAUAUAUAUAUAUAUCUAUUAUUAUUAUUAUCCGUGAUCACUCUCGGCCCUCCUCUGUCUCUCUAUCUUUCUGUGUUCUUACCUUCUCCAUUUCUGAGGAGGUGUGGGCGUGCUUGAGCGCUUGUCACUGCGGAAUCUUUCACCUGGGCGUUUGUCCGUGUGCGAGGCGUGCGUAUGCUUGUUUGGUAGCUGUGCUUUCCCAUCAUAAUCUUGCCUUUCUCUUCGUCGGCUUUUAGCCCCUCAACCUUCCCUCCCCCGACUUGUUGCUGCUCGGUGAUUGAGGACUUUUGCCUUUGUCUUGCCUCCUCCUUUUCUCUGCUUUCGCUCGCUCGCUCUCUCUCCCUCGGUGAGUGACUGUGGCCUGUUGCGUGCACUUUCCCUUCGUUGCGGAUUUUUCGUUUUUCUCACGUUUCCACGUUCUUCGUCGCUUACUCUUCUUCCCGCGCCUCUCCUUGUCUUUUCGUUUUAUUAUUCACCGUUUGCGCCCCUUUCCGUCACUCGCGCUCCGUGCCAUCUGCGCCACGCUGUGCACAUAUAUAUAUAUAUAUUUUCGUGUUCCCGUUGCUGUUCUGCCUUUCGUUGUGCGUAGGGUCUCUUCGCUUCUCACUUGCUGUCCCUCUGCUCGCUGGCUUCACUUUUUCUUGCGCGUGCGUGCGUCCAGGUAGGGUGUGCUGUUGUUGUCAUUGCUGUUGAUCCCUGUUGCAGAGGACUUCACGGAGAGUUAUCGAAGGGGUCUUCGUCUGGCCUCUUGUGUGCUCCGUCCCCUUUUCGUAUUCGGCUUCCCACCGUCCGUCUUGUCUCCGAGGGGCUUCUUCGUUGCUUCUUUCGCUCACACUACCCCUUCCACUUGUGUGUGGCCAUUUUGUUCCCUUUUUUCGUCUCUCUUUUUGUACACGCUCCGGUUGCUGGCGUGUGCGCGGGUGCGCUUAACGUUUUGCUCAGAAGUAAGCACCUCUCUCGGUAUAUAUAUUUGUUUUGGUGCGUACUGGACAGGGGGAGAGAGAGGGACUGAUGCUUUUCCGUGAUCAGCACGACAGCGGCAAUGGUGCAGGCGCCGUGGGCACAGGCGUGGCGAAUCAGCACAACGAAGAUGACGAGACGUGCUCGACUGGCGGGCGGAGCUACACGAGCGCCGAGUCCGCCACUGCGCAGAGCUUCGAGCAUCGCAUGGCGCAGCUGCAAAACACGAUGAACAUGAUGCCCGACAUCAGCGGUGAAGCUAAUGCUUUCUCCAAGGCGGAGCCUGGCAUCGACGGCGGCGCACAGACCUACCUCACGCCGGGCUACCAGCUCUUUCCCAGAGUCGGCGGCGCGUACGCUGACACCGACUCCGAUGACAUCGAUGAUGUGCAGAACAGCCUGCCAGUGAUGGCGCAUGCCAACGACGGUGACAACGGUGGGCCGAAGCGUGCGAGACACAACACCACGUCUUCCGGAAGGAAACCCGAAAGCACCGUAGAUGAAGACGAGGAGGAGGCCGAUUACUUGGCGUCGUUGCUGCGCAACAUCGAGAAGCACGCAGAGCGGCUCGACACCCAGUUUUACCGCUACCCAUCUUCGGAUGUGAUCAAACAACAGAUGGCUGCGACGGCUCCGCCGAGUGGGGAAAAGGCGAAGGACGACGCCGCGGCGACCGGCAACGGUGCCGCGUCGGCUGGAUCUUGUGGUACGACCGCCUCGGCGGGAGAGGGCAGCGCCGCUGAAGAUCAGUCAGGCAGCGGCAGUGCUGUGUCCCCCAGGUCGUCGCCGCAGGCACUGAGGGCAGGAUCACCAGCGCCGUCACCGACCGCUGCGGCGCCGCCGGCGUCGUCGCACAGUCCGGGCACAAAGCUGUUCCUGGGCGGCCUGCGCUACGAGGUCAUUCAAAGCGGGCGGCACAUGGUGAGCUGGAUCUUCCAGGUCGCUUGCGGCGUGCGCCUGAGCCCGUCAAGCAUUCUUAUUCAUCGCAAGACGAAGAAUGGGCGCUCAAACGUGGCACCAACGGGGUGCGCGUCUGUGUUUGUCGCCAACGACGCCGAUGUGCAGGCGCUCCUGGAUGUGAACCAGCGCAUCUACUGUGCUGAGGAAGGCGUCUAUGUGUCGCCAUCGCCUGAAAUCAUGAAGGAGCUUAUCGCAUCAAAGGACAUAGUCGAUGUGACCGGAGGCCGGGUGCGGGGGCCCACCCACCCCGUUGUGAUUGAGCGUGCCUACAGUCUCAGCCACCACCAUGGCCACCGCGAGAGUAGCGGCAGCGGCACCCGCGGGCACGGUGGCGCCGGGGGCGGUGCAGCGGCUAGCGGCGGCGGGGGCCACCGCCACACACCCACGACUUCGACUGCUAGCACGGAGAGCAACCUUUCAAGCCAGCUCCGGGGACCCAUGCCGCCGCCGUACGGGAGUGUACCGCCACCUCAGUACGGCGCCGUACACGCCUCUCCUUUGUGUAUACCGGGCAGCCUGCAGCCACCGUCUUACACGCCAUCUACCGUUUCCAGCUCCAUGGGGAUGGGCUGCAUGCCAGUGGCCGGAAGCAUGCCAACCAGAUCAAGCAGCACCACCCUUUAUCCCUCCAGUGCCGUCUUGUCAGGGCAGUCGUCGCCGUCAACGCAGCCGCUUCUCGGGGACGCGCUGGCAUUUAGUCCGCCGCCCACCGCUAAGGGGCUGGAUCCGCAGCGCGUGACGUUCCACGCCUAUUUGCGCAGCGACGCCGCGGCACGCAGGAGCCCCACCGCGCCGUCAUCCUCAGGCUUGCCUUCGGCCACUGGCAGCUCCGCAGCGCACCACAAGGUACUGUUCGUUGCUGCUUUGCCAACUGAGGCGACCUCAGACUACGUCUCGUGGCUUUUUUCGCUCAUGAGCAUCACCCUGCCCCCUUCCCACAUCCACAUCAUUGGCGGCGGAGGUACCAACCCUGUCGUGAGCGGCCCUCCAGGUGGGGCUUCGUCAGCCGGCGUUGGCAAGAACAUGUCGGACAGCUGCGCCACAGUAAACCUCGGCGAAGGCGACAUCCCCAUCGCGCUUAACUACCAUCAUCGCGUGCUGUGCACCUCACGAGGUGCGUGGAUAGGCCACUCAGCGCAGGACAUUGCUGCUCUGCGGGCCAGCGACGCAUCUUUGCGUGACUGCCCGGUGCUGCACGUGGAUCGGCGCAUGUCUGCGCAGACCGCCGCCGGCGUUGGGAGCGGCAGCUCCGCCUCACCAGAAACUCCAGUCUAUACGCACGGCAGCGCAGGGGGUGAGUUUGGUAGCAGCGGUAUCCCGCCUUAUCCGCCGAUGCAGGCGCCGUAUUCACCACCCGUCUUUGGCGGCAUGCCGGUGAUGCCGGCGGCUACCAUUGGUGGUGCCGUGAACGCGAUGCCGUUCCCGAUGCAGUGGGGCUUCAGCAUUCCCUCCUCAUCUGCCAACUGCAUGCGCACAGGGGUGCCACCGCCGCCACAAGCGGCGAUGAUGGGCGGCGCUGUGACUCCUGCCAUGGGUGCUGGAGCUCCGCCGCCGCCGCCGAAUGCGACAAUGCCGCCCCCAUUCCCGUUCCCGCAGACGGUUACAAUUGGUGACCGCGUCUACCAGCUGCCUCACGGCGCAACGUUGCAGUUUCUGCCAGUCAUCACUCCCGCCGGCGGUGCUGGCGCGGGCGGCGAGGCUGAGGUCGGCGGCACGGGUAGCGCUGCUGGAGGUCGUCGACGGAACGAACCUUCAGGUCGUGGGAACCCCUCGAACCUGGAGGCGCCGGCAAAACCGAGUACCGACUUACCUCAGCCUGACACACCGCUGCAGUUUAGCACGCGACCCUCGUAGAGGCGCUUUGAGCCGUAAUACUGCGUGUCUGUGUGGUCGGCUAUGACGCACUUCGUAGGAGAGGGAAAGGGCAGCGUGCACAGGCCGUCGAGCAGAGAAGCAAUGCACGCGUGCAUUUUCUCUUUCCUUGCUUGCCUGAAUCAUUUCUGUCUGUUGUUGCCGCACAAAAAAAAAAGGACUCGCGCUGCUCGUGCGCGGCGGUUUUGCUGUGCUUGCAGCAUCUAUGCUUUCUUGCGCAUUGCUUCUUCAUGUGCUUGUCUGGUGCCAUCCGCUGUUGCUCAUGAGGAUAUGGCCACUGGAACACGAAGGAGCGAGCAAGAAAAACAAAGGAAGGAAAGCAGAAGAGCCACUAUAUGCAAAUACGUGCUGCCGGCACGUGCUAUGUCGCCUCCCUCUCUCCCCUCACUUGCUUCCUUUCGUUUUUUUUUUCUCCACACACACACGCCCACACCACUCCGUUUCCUUCACCGUUCCCUCUUUGUGUUUUGUUUUGCCGUGCUGCUGCCGCCGUGCUCGCAUCAUCUGCCGCGCUCUCGAGACAG